Molecule: transfer RNA, 75 nt
Filed under: Paenibacillus peoriae
Lineage: Bacteria; Bacillati; Bacillota; Bacilli; Caryophanales; Paenibacillaceae
Description: tRNA-Cys
Rfam family: tRNA
About the family: Transfer RNA (tRNA) molecules are approximately 80 nucleotides in length.
Source: RNAcentral
GCGGACGUGGCUCAGCGGUAGAGCAUCGCCUUGCAAAGGCAAGGGUCGCAGGUUCGAUUCCCGUCGUCCGCUCCA